Molecule: long non-coding RNA, 276 nt
Organism: Lethenteron reissneri (Far Eastern brook lamprey)
Lineage: Eukaryota; Metazoa; Chordata; Hyperoartia; Petromyzontiformes; Petromyzontidae
Source: RefSeq, a predicted model, not a curated record
CACCUGUUGACCCUUCAAGCAUCAACUCCACCACCACCACCAACUCAACGUUCCUGAAUGUCACCUACAGAGUUCAGAGCAAACUCUUCAGACGCGCCCUCUGGCAGACCGUCUGUGCUGCCACCAAAGACACGUGCUGCGACGUCUCUUCAGCGCUGGACGAUGCCGGUGGCCGCUAUCUCCUCCGCGUGAGAUUCUCCGUCUCGUCCUCACCACCGCUGUCCUCACCCUGGGUCGCGCUUGAGGUCGUGCCCUUGAGGGAGAAGAGCGACGCGC